AGCAGUAGCCGCGGGAAAACGUAGGUGGCAAGCGUUGUCCGGAAUUAUUGGGCGUAAAGCGCGCGCAGGUGGUUUAAUAAGUCUGAUGUGAAAGCCCACGGCUCAACCGUGGAGGGUCAUUGGAAACUGUUAAACUUGAGUGCAGGAGAGAAAAGUGGAAUUCCUAGUGUAGCGGUGAAAUGUGUAGAGAUUAGGAGGAACGCCAGUGGCGAAGGCGGCUUUUUGGCCUGUAACUGACACUGAGGCGCGAAAGCGUGGGGAGCAAACAGGAUUAGAGACCCCUGUAGUCCCUGUCUCUUAUAA
Molecule: ribosomal RNA, 303 nt
Filed under: uncultured bacterium
Lineage: Bacteria
Description: partial 16S ribosomal RNA
Rfam family: Bacterial small subunit ribosomal RNA
Source: RNAcentral